Molecule: long non-coding RNA, 2258 nt
Organism: Oreochromis aureus
Lineage: Eukaryota; Metazoa; Chordata; Actinopteri; Cichliformes; Cichlidae
Source: Ensembl
UGGGCACAGAAGUCAGAUGAGGGGUCAAAUCCUGAGGGAGGAAGACGCAUCUAGACGGACUUUCAGUCUCUUUCAGCUCUAUGUGAAAACUUACAUGUAGUGAGACAGAAUAGUUGUCUGUAGCACCACCUCAGAAUUACAUCUGAAAUGUCCGCUGGAACAUCUGUACUGCUCAGCUGGACCCAGCUGUGGCUCUGCCUCCUCCUUUUGGUCCAUGCAGACCAGAAAAACAUAACAUCUAAGUCUGGACAGAACGUCACUCUGCCAUGUCGAGCUCCAAACAAGGACAUCCGCAUCAUUGUUUUAGAGUGGAGCAGAGCUGACCUGGGAGAUGAAUAUGUCCUUUCGUACCGGGAUGAGCAGUUUGAUCCAGAACAACAGCAUCCAUCUUUUAAGAACCGGGUGGAUCUGCAGGACACACAGAUGAAGGAUGGAAACGUGUCUUUGAUUGUGAAGAAUGUGACGACUGCUGAUAGUGGGAUGUACAAGUGUCGUGCAUUUUUGAGUCAAACACGAUCGUGGGAAUCCAUCAACAACAUCAACCUGAGUGUUGAUCCUCCAGGUCAGACAGGAGGAGGCAGAUUUGUCCCACUGAUACUUUGUCUACUUGGUUCCACUGUCAUUCCUGUGGUCGGUUUUCUGAUCUACAGAAGAAAACCACAGAAAUAGGAUUCACACGUCCUUUCUGUUGAACAGCAGCAUAUUUAAAAUGUCUCAGAGCUUUUUAACUGUGAACUGAGUCUCUUGCAAUUGUUACUAAAUAUUUAUUAGAGUUUUCUCAUUUUAAAGAAAAGGUAGGCAGCUUUUAUUCAUUACGUUUUUUAAGCACUGCUUACAUGUAUUUGCACAUGUCUGGAUUUGUCAAUAUAUUUACUUCUAAUAUGCAUUUUAUUGUUAAUGUUGAUGAAUUUAUAGCUGAAUUUCCUGAUUCACUGCCCAACCCAAUAUGCAGUUUUAUCUGUUUAUUGUUUAUUUAUCUGUUUCUUUUUACAGUGUUUUAAUGUCUUAACUGUGAAUAUAUAUUUUAUUUUAAUGACUGAACAUGUGUUGCUGUGUUGAUAUAAGCCUGUGUCUUUUAAAAUUUGUAUGUUUGUUUUUAAAUGUUUUCCCAAUCUUACCCCACCUUAACUCUCUGAGCUUCUUCAUCCCUACACACCCUGUUGGUCUCUUACUUGCUUAGUUGGAGUACCGAGAUCCGGGAGGAAGCUCAGAGGGGACAGCGCCUUCUCUAUUGUGGCUCCUGAAUUUAGAGAGGCCCCGUCUCUGUCCACUUUUAAAACACGUCAUUGGCUUUUGACCUCAGUGAGACUUAGUGUCUCUUGUAAUUAAAUGUGUUAUCUAAUUAAUUAUUUUAUUUUUCUUUUAUUUGGCUUUCAUUUAAAUCAAAUGUUAUUUUUAUUAUUUAGUUCCAAUCUACAGCACUUUGCGCCAGCUGUGGUUGCUUUGAAGACUUUAUAAAAAAAAGAUGAUGGUGAUACUUGUGCUCACUGUAAUUCAGUCUAUAUCUUAAAUGUUUUUUGUAUUAUUUUAUGCGUUUUAAUGUUCUUAUUUUUUUUUUACUCUAAUUUGUUUCCAGUGUUUGGUGCUUAGAAUUAAAAAAUAAAAAAUAAAAUCAUAAAUAAAGAAAAACUGAAAUAGAAUAAUCUGAAUUUUAAUCAGUCUUAAGAAAACAAACAUCACUGACAGGUACAACCUUGCCACUUAAAAAUAUUAGAAAUGAGAAAUAAUCAAAAACAUGCCAAUUUAGUCAUGUUUACAAAUCAUGCCACACUAAAUCAUUCAGCUUCUCCGGAGGGUAACAUAUCACUCCUGAUCUGACCGUCGCUGUUAAAAUGUAUUUUUGAGGACAGUAUGGAAGCAUUAAUGAUCUGCUUCUAUCCAUGUUAGUGUUUAAAGUCCAACAUUUCCCUCUAGUGGUCAUAUAUAAACCAUGUGUGAGGAUGGUGUUAAUGUAAAAUGUGAAUCAUAGUGUUCCAGUCAGUCAUCAGUGUGUCUCUGCACAGCUGUAAUUAAAAUGUGUUCAGAGGGCCUCAGUGUCUGAAUGGUUCCAGUUCAGCUCCAUAACAGCAGCGUCCCUGGUUUGAUUCCUGUGUUUCAGCUCAUAUCUGCCUCUCUCACUGAGGGGGACGUAACUACAUGGACAUGGAUUUGUUCAUCAAUCAAACUACAGAUCACUGAGAGCAGAGGACAUCUGACUUUUUGUUUUCUUUCCAUCUGUGUGAAUUGCCAGAUGUCUGAGCAAGCUCAUUGCAUUAAAA